This is a long non-coding RNA of Gasterosteus aculeatus aculeatus (three-spined stickleback), 1859 nucleotides long. The record is from Ensembl. Lineage: Eukaryota; Metazoa; Chordata; Actinopteri; Perciformes; Gasterosteidae.
CACAAUAUGACACAACAGCGACACUCGUUGUGCGACGUGUUGCUGAGGUUUUUUUCUUUUUACUUUCCCCUUUUUCUUCCCCUUCGCGUUUGCAAAAUGCAGUUUUCUUUCUGGUUGUCGUUUCUCCUCCGUGUGCGUCUGUGUCGUCUUGUUGUCUCGUGGAAUUUGGAGGAGAAUUCGUCCUUCCAGCUGCUCUCGAGACAUGAUUGAGUACAAUUAUGAAGGAACCCAACAACAACGCCACCAUUGACUCUGUUGACAGAAUCAUACGUGGCACCAAUUACCCCGGUCUGGGCCCGUCAGCUGGAGGAGAGCAGAGCCGGAGGAAGUCAAAAGGACGGCUGAGCGUCUCCUCUGUGGGGUCGGAGGCUGAUGCGCUGACGGGGACACACAUCUCUGAUCCGGAGAGUCACUGUGUGUGUGUGUGUGUGUGUGUGUCGCUGACAUUAAGCCGAUACGGAGGUCGACGUUACCACGUUAGCAUUGCCAUUUUUAGCUUUUAGCGUUGCCAUUCACAUAUACCUGUAACAUGUCAGACCGAACCCUACGAGAAAACAAGAGCAGAUUUGAAGUGUUGGAGAUUAUGGAAAUGUCUAAACUCAAACUGAUCAAAGUGCAAUGUUUGAAUUGGAUUCCGCCCUAACGUCCAUAAACACGAUGUUUUAUUACUGCUGCUGAGCUGAACUUUGGAGCGCCAUUACAGACCUCCCAUUGUCCACUACAGUGCUCCCAUCAAUUGUUUGCCAACAAAGCCAAUAAAAGAUUCAGUUUGCGGUUUCAGUCCAACCGCCUCCGUCAUUUCCCCUCAACGCCACGGCCUUUUGCCUGCGCUUGUGUGUGCGAGGCCUUAUCCGCGUCCUUCGCUCAGGCGGUUAAAAACAGCGACACAGCAAAACCAAACAAAAUGCUUUUGCUUUCCAGUGGAGGGUCUAUUUUUGAAGCGCAGCCACCAGAAGUGAAGAAAGGGUCUUGAUCCGCUGCCGGCGAUCAACAGAUGGCCGAUUAGCAUUUCCAAAUCUGCCGUCAAACUCUGUAAUGAAAUGGGGAAUGAUUGGAAUUCAGCAAGAGACUUUAUCAGCUCACACUCUCUCCCUCUCUCUCUCUUUCUGUUGCCUUUCCUCCUUUUGAUUAGCAAGUAAAACAUCCGUCUGAUGGCUCAUUGAUCGCCUGCUGGUUUUAAACAGAGCGUAUUUAUGGCUGCGUGCCCGUGGAAAGACGCACACGAGAGCAGUGCAAUUUACUUCUCCUUUCACGCCGCCACGUCCUCCUCUAUAACACUCUCUCCCUCUGUCCCUCUGUCCCUGUCUCCCCGUCUCCCUCUCUCACGCCUUCUGUCUCUCCAUCUCGCUCUUCCAUAUCCAUUUCCAAUCAGCUAAAUUCCCCUGGCACGGCGGAAUAAUCUGUCAUCAUUCACUAUAUCAAGUGCAUGUGGACUCACACACACACGCACACACACACACACACACACACACACAGGUCCUAUCCUGUAAUGUCAUUAUGGCACCCACUGAGUCAAAUUACACUGAAUCAAUAGGUCUUGUUUAUCUGUUGGGGGCCUCCUUGCUCUCAAUUACAGCCCAGGGGAACGUCUAUGGAGGGGAGCACGUGUGCGCAUGUGUGUGUGUGUGUGUGUGUGAGGUUUAAGAUGGCCUUGGCUGUAUCAGCGGCCGUUGUGCGUUCUGCGGCCUCCGCAUCGGGACGAGGGCUUCGGCGCGGAGGGCCGAUAAGCUAAUUGACCCCCCCUGACUGUGUGAGAGAGGAGCCCAUUGACAUGCAGCCCGGCGUCUGAGGCGCGCCACACAACAAUGAGGAGAAUGUUAACGAGUGGCUUCUCUCUGACGGCGAGGUAAACAGCGCAG